AGAAAUGUGGCUCAGUUGUAGUGUGCAUGCCUAGCAAGUAUGAUGUUGUGAGUUAAAACUUCACUAUUACCC
This 72-nucleotide transfer RNA is filed under the name Dipodomys ordii (Ord's kangaroo rat). It matches the Rfam family "tRNA". From Rfam's summary of the family: Transfer RNA (tRNA) molecules are approximately 80 nucleotides in length. The record is from Rfam by way of RNAcentral. Lineage: Eukaryota; Metazoa; Chordata; Mammalia; Rodentia; Heteromyidae.